Molecule: ribosomal RNA, 507 nt
Filed under: Leptalpheus pereirai
Lineage: Eukaryota; Metazoa; Arthropoda; Malacostraca; Decapoda; Alpheidae
Description: partial large subunit ribosomal RNA
Rfam family: Bacterial large subunit ribosomal RNA
Source: RNAcentral
GUCUUCUCGCAGGAAUUGGGAAGUCUGUCCUGCCCACUGAGGGGUUUUGAAGGGCCGCGGUAUAUUGACCGUGCGAAGGUAGCAUAAUCAAUAGUCUCUUAAUUGGAGGCUGGAAUGAAUGGUUGGACGGGAAGAGGGCUGUCUUGUCCAGAGGGUGUGAAGUUGACUUUUGUGUGAAAAGGCACAGAUGAUUUGGGGGGACGAUAAGACCCUAUAAAACUUGAUGGUUUAGCGAGGUUCUUGAAUUGGGGUUUAAUAAGUGCUUGGGUAAAGCUAUUUUGCUGGGGAGGCAGGGAUAAAAAUUGUUAACUGUUUUAUAAUUUUAAUAGUAAUGAUUAGAUAAUGACCCUUAAUUUGGGUUUAAGAGUUUAAGUUACUUUAGGGAUAACAGCGUAAUUUCUUUUGAGAGUUCGUAUCGACAAAGAUAGUUGCGACCUCGAUGUUGAAUUAAAACUUCCUGCAGGAGCAGAGAUUUGUGGGGUAGGUCUGUUCGACCUUUAAAGUUUU